This 245-nucleotide ribosomal RNA is filed under the name uncultured Mucilaginibacter sp. RNAcentral describes it as "partial 16S ribosomal RNA". It matches the Rfam family "Bacterial small subunit ribosomal RNA", at positions 524 to 768 of the family's 1533-position model. Lineage: Bacteria; Pseudomonadati; Bacteroidota; Sphingobacteriia; Sphingobacteriales; Sphingobacteriaceae. The record is from RNAcentral.
UACGGAGGAUCCAAGCGUUAUCCGGAUUUAUUGGGUUUAAAGGGUGCGUAGGCGGCCAAUUAAGUCAGGGGUGAAAGACGGUAGCUUAACUAUCGCAGUGCCUUUGAUACUGAUUGGCUUGAAUGGACUAGAGGUAGGCGGAAUGUGACAAGUAGCGGUGAAAUGCAUAGAUAUGUCACAGAACACCAAUUGCGAAGGCAGCUUACUAUGGUUUAAUUGACGCUGAGGCACGAAAGCGUGGGGAU